Long non-coding RNA from Pocillopora damicornis (cauliflower coral), 486 nucleotides. The record is from RefSeq and is a predicted model, not a curated record. NCBI's taxonomy places the organism in Eukaryota, Metazoa, Cnidaria, Anthozoa, Scleractinia, Pocilloporidae.
GUACGCGUCACGCAACGACAGGUGUGCUUCUUUGAGUGGCUUUAUAUUGUAGUUUUUUUUUGGCUAUAUAUUGUUUCUAAGGAGGAACGUUACCAAUUUUUAAAUUUACGUUCCCUUGUAAAAACUUCACUCUGGGGGCCUUUUUUUAAAUCUUGUUGCCACUCAAAAGGAUUAGUUCAGCAUAAACAUGACCUUAUUAUUGUAAAUAACCGUCUCAGCUCUUCAAUUGAGCAAAGAACAUAACACGAACGUCAGGAGAGCGUGUAGCUAAUACAGUCAGAAUGUUCUUACCGAUGGUGUGUGCCGAUUUUGAUACAUAAAUUGUAAAGAUAAAGAGAUAAAUUAGGCGAGAACACCUGUGAGGCAGAUAAAUUCGAAUCAUCUACUAUUGCGUUUGUCACAAUGUGAGACACUUUGCACUUGAGAUAAGCUAUCAAUUUGUAGACCUCUACGAUAGAAAAUUAAAGCUUAACUAUUUGGGAUAUA